Molecule: long non-coding RNA, 297 nt
Organism: Melanotaenia boesemani (Boeseman's rainbowfish)
Lineage: Eukaryota; Metazoa; Chordata; Actinopteri; Atheriniformes; Melanotaeniidae
Exons: 2
Source: RefSeq, a predicted model, not a curated record
CGAUAUCGGAAGGGCUGGAGGCCGUACGUUGGUGGUGGGUCGAGCCAAGGUGGUGGUACGUGUAGAUGGUCCUCCUCUGCGUGCAUUGAGGACGCGAAGAAGUUGCUCCAGGAUGAUGGCCUCCCCGAUCUGCUCUUUGGUCCGUUGCUCCGGCUGAAUCCAACGGCGGUAGAGUCCUUUUAAGCGGUGAUAUGUCUCAGUGGGCGUUUCUCCAUGUGGCACAGAUGCACAGCGAAACUCUUGUCUGUAUGUCUCUGGUGAUAUGUCAAACUUGCUCAAUAAAGCUUCUUUCAGGUC